Aegilops tauschii subsp. strangulata is the source of this 1953-nucleotide long non-coding RNA. RefSeq lists it as uncharacterized. Lineage: Eukaryota; Viridiplantae; Streptophyta; Magnoliopsida; Poales; Poaceae. The record is from RefSeq and is a predicted model, not a curated record.
CAGGUGUCUCGUCGCCACCACCUCACUCUCCUCCGCCCGUUGAUGAGCAGGCCGGGGGCGGAAGCUGCAAAGCUGGGAAAUCGAGCUCCGCGGCGAGGGAGGGCGGCUCCGGAGUCUCCUCGCCAUCACCCCCCCCUGCUCCGCCCGUCGAUGGGCAGGCCGAGGGCCGAAUCUUCGAAGCCGGAGGAUCGAGCUCCGCUGCUGCGCACGCCAGGAGCAGGCUGGAUUGCCGAAGGCGAAGAAGACGUUCUUGAGCAAGAUAAUCAGCUUCAGCAAGAACAAGCUUUUUUGUAGAAAAGGAAUCGGAAGCUCGGAGAGACCUCACGUGAAUCGACAGGCAAUGUCUUUCGAGGGCGCCCUUGAUUAUUGUGCCGAACAGAUUCGUGCAAUUCAUUUACACGAAAGAGUAGAUCCUGUGAAUGUGUUGGACUUUCGUGGUCUCUACUCAGACUUUAGGCCAGUGAAAAUUGACGGGGAGUGUUUCUACAGGAGCUUCAUAAUUUCCUAUCUUUGUUUAUGCCGAUGCACGACAGGAGCAAGUUCUUGAUAGGCAAGACACAAAUGAGGAAGAAUGCUUCCUUGCAGCUAUCGAAGAGGUGGCUGAGGAGGAACAUGCACGUUUUGGAUGGGCCUCUGAAUUUUCUAGUAGCCACAAAGCAUUUAAGGAGUUGAUAAAGAAAGUAAAGAGCUGGAAGAAAAAACGCAGAUUGAUCCCCGUAUUAACUGACAGAUACCUUAAGCGGAAACUUCUCAAGUUCUUCAGCACUUACGAUCGAACAGAAGACAGCGAGAAAACACUUCUCAACUUAUCCUUCAGUCAUCAACCUAUCUUUCCCUCAGUUCAUCCCAAUUAAUGUUUCUGACACAUUUUUGGUGGUCAGUUCUUGUUUUCCUCAGGUUAGUAGCAGCUAUCUGGUUAUGCUCGCACAUGGCGGACUAUGAAGAGGUUAUACCUGGACUUGGAGAAAAUGACAGUGUGACAGAUGCGUACCCCUUUGCGUCGCCACCCCCUCCCCCCCCAACCCAAGCCAGUAGCCCACCUUUGAGACCUCCCUUGCCGCCGGCAAGUGCCGCGGUGGCGGCGAACCCAAUGCCAAAGGCUCCUGGGCGGGUGGUCGUUGCGGGAUCUCCCGUGAAGCGGAGGGGCGCUUCAUGUGGGGAUGAUGAAGGCAGCAGUUAGGGCGGCGCCCCUACUGUGCAGCGGCGAUCGAGGCUCCAUUGCCGGCAGGAUGGUCGGCUUGGAGAUGGAUGGUGGCGGUGGCGGCACUUGAUAUGUCUCCAACGUAUCUAUAAUUUUUUAUUGUUCCAUGUGAUUAUAUUAUCUGUUUUGGAUGUUUUAUAUGCAUUAAUAUGCUAUUUUAUAUUAUUUUUUGGACUAACCUAUUAACUUAGAGCCCAACGCGAGUUCCUGUUUUUUCCUUGUUUUUGAGUUUCGCAGAAAAAGAAUAUCAAACGGAGUCCAAACGAAAUGAAAUCUUCGCGAUGAUUUUUCUUGGACCAGAAGACAACCAGCAGACUUGGAAAUGAAGUCGGAGGAGCCACGAGGCGGCCACAAGGACGGAGGACGCGCCCAGGAGGGUAGGGUGCCCCCACCCUUGUGGGGCCCCCGUGGACCUACUGACCUAAUUUUUUCGCCUAUAUAUUGCCAAAUAUCCCCAAACCACCAGAGGCAUCCACGAAAACACUUUUCUACCGCCGCAACCUUCUGUACUCGUGAGAUCCCAUCUAGAGACCUUUUUCGGCACCGUGCCGGAGGGGGAUUCGAUCACGGAGGGCUUCUACAUCUACUCUAUUGCCCUUCCGAUAAAGCGUGAGUAGUUUACCACAGACUUACGGGUUCAUAGCUAGUAGCUAAUGGCUUCUUCUCUCUCUUUGAUUCUCAAUACCAUGUUCUCCUCGAUGUUCUUGGAGAUCUAUUUGAUGUAAUACUUUUUUGCGGUGUGUUUGGCGAGA